Molecule: long non-coding RNA, 1237 nt
Filed under: Capra hircus (goat)
Lineage: Eukaryota; Metazoa; Chordata; Mammalia; Artiodactyla; Bovidae
Description: lncRNA (ENSCHIG00010003208.1)
Source: RNAcentral
AUGGUAGUAGUGGUUGUCUGGGUGAUGGACUUAGAAAUGGUUGUAAUAUUCUUCUUUAUUCUUUUCCAUUUUUCUAACAUUUUAAAGCAAUUAAAAUGGGUUACUAUUAGAAUCAUUAAAAUAUCCUCUAUUAAAUGUGUGAGAGCACUAUAUAGAAGUACAAAAUUUGUUGGAAGUAUGGAAAAAUGAUUAUGUCUAACUAGGUGGGGAAUCAGGAAGGCUUUAGGAUUUAAUCUUUAAUAAUGAUGAAAAACUUUUAAUCUUAGAAAUAAUGAAAUUUCAUUGAGUUGAAAAGGCCUUUUAUAUUCCUACAACUUUUUAUCUCUAUGACAUUUGACUAUAGUCUCUAUUAACUAUCUAGAGCUCUAGUGACUGCUAUCUGACAUAUUAUCUUUUAUUACUUUAGAUAUAUCUUAAAAUUUUUUUCUACAUACACCAUGGGGAGAUGUUUCUUAAAUCAGUAGUUGUCACUAGUUUCAGAGUAUAUAUUUUUAGCAAAGACUCUUUCCGCUUGUCCCACUGACCCCAGAAAUGCUUUAUUUAGACAUUUACUAGCAAGGGCUGUUUCUUUAUCCUCUUGUUCUUCUGAAGACUUCUGUAUCUUUAAUAUUAAAUGCACAGAGCACAUAUUCUCCAGGGUCCAAUAGGCUUCUAGCAAAAAGACUCCACAAACCAUCUGCUUCAUCAGCCAUGAGCUUCCUGUUCUUUUGGUGGACACCCUAAGUGAUGAGACGUCCCAAGGUUUUCAGUGAAAGUGCAGGGAUUAUCAGGACAGAAUUUAGGUGACAUGAUAGGCUUCAACUAACCUGAAAGAUGAGCAUCUUGGUUCUAUGUAACCCUGAUGAAUUAUUUACCCUCUCUAUGCCUUAGUUUCCUCACUGAUAAAAUGGAGAUAAUAAAGAAGAGAAAAAAAUAGAGAUAAUAGCAAUCAUUUCAUAGGCUUAUUUUGAAUAUUAAAUUUGGCAUUUGUUAAUAUUUGAUAUAUAUAGUUGCCCUUAUUGUGAUGUAUCAUAGACCUGGGGGGUUGUGGAGUUCUAUUUUUCUCCUGAAUGAUUAUAGGAAGUGGUGGAAUUUUGAAUGACAAGUGAGUUGUGGAGGGCAGAUGAGGGUGGCGGUGAUAGGGGAUGUGCCAGGCAAGGAGGGUUGGGAUAGCACCAUGACCUAGGGAUGCUGCUGGUGGAACUUCAGGUGUAGGGGAACUGUGAGAGAUGAGACCAGAGAGGGAGACUGGAUCCAG